UUCCUGUGUGAUGGUUGGUCUGAUUGUCCUCUAGGAGAUGAUGAACACAAUUGUUCCCUUCAAUGUCCCACCGGAUACACGUGUGGUCACUCACCAUAUAACAUCAAGUAUGAACCGAGACACGACUGUGGACCAUCAGACUGGUUACCUUUCUGGGUUAAUGCUUCAAGUGGCUGGAGAACAGACUACGGUAACAUCACCGCUAAACUUGCAACUAUUCUCAACCUCCGGGAAAUUUAUCAUGAAACGUUGGAAGUUGGAACAUUUCUCGGUCUUCCUAAUCUUAGCU
This is a long non-coding RNA of Lytechinus variegatus (green sea urchin), 289 nucleotides long. RefSeq lists it as uncharacterized. The transcript is spliced from 3 exons. The record is from RefSeq and is a predicted model, not a curated record. NCBI's taxonomy places the organism in Eukaryota, Metazoa, Echinodermata, Echinoidea, Temnopleuroida, Toxopneustidae.